GGGGAUCCCACCUACCAUGGAAGUCUUUCGCAGAGAGAUAUGGUAGAUGGGCUAGAAGAGCAUGACAUAUACUGUUGUGUCGAUAUUUUCUCCUCGGACCUUGAAAAUUUAUGGUGGGGACACGCAAACUUCUCAACAGGCCGUACCAAUAUCCGCAGCUGGUCUCCAAGGUGAAGAGUCUCUAGUCGAUAGAAUAAUGUAGGUAAGGGAAGUCGGCAAAUUAGAUCCGUAACUUCGGGAUAAGGAUUGGCUCUGAAGAUUGAGAUAGUCGGGCUUGAUUGGGAAACAAUAACAUGGUUUAUGUGCUCGUUCUGGGUAAAUAGAGUUUCUAGCAUUUAUGUUAGUUACUUGUUCCCCGGAUAGUUUAGUUACGUAGCCAAUUGUGGAACUUUCUUGCUAAAAUUUUUAAGAAUACUAUUUGGGUUAAACCAAUUAGUUCUUAUCAAUUAUAACGAUUAUCAAUUAACAAUCAAUUCAGAACUGGCACGGACUUGGGGAAUCCGACUGUCUAAUUAAAACAAAGCAUUGUGAUGGCCCUAGCGGGUGUUGACACAAUGUGAUUUCUGCCCAGUGCUCUGAAUGUCAAAGUGAAGAAAUUCAAGUAAGCGCGGGUCAACGGCGGGAGUAACUAUGACUCUCUUAAGGUAGCCAAAUGCCUCGUCAUCUAAUUAGUGACGCGCAUGAAUGGAUUAACGAGAUUCCUACUGUCCCUAUCUACUAUCUAGCGAAACCACAGCCAAGGGAACGGGCUUGGAAUAAUUAGCGGGGAAAGAAGACCCUUUUGAGCUUGACUCUAAUCUGGCAGUGUAAGGAGACAUAAGAGGUGUAGAAUAAGUGGGAGAUAUUAGACCUCGGUUUGGUAUCGUCAAUGAAAUACCACUACUCUUAUUGUUCCUUACUUACUUGAUUAAAUGGAACGUGUAUCAUUUCCUAGCCAUUAUACGGAUAUAUUUAUUAUAUCUUAUGGUAUGGGUUUUGAUGCAGCUCUUGAUCAAGUAUCACGAGUUGUAUAAUCGCAACAAUUCUUAUAAACGAUGCAUUUUGUAUUUGAUUGAAUUUGGAUACUCCAUACUCAGUGACCAUCAGGAAUGCGGAGGAGUGACUGGGCGGACUCUAAAAACGAGUUCCG
This 1129-nucleotide non-coding RNA is filed under the name Drosophila simulans. Its description in RNAcentral is "Eukaryotic large subunit ribosomal RNA". It matches the Rfam family "Eukaryotic large subunit ribosomal RNA", at positions 1704 to 2588 of the family's 3401-position model. Lineage: Eukaryota; Metazoa; Arthropoda; Insecta; Diptera; Drosophilidae. The record is from Rfam by way of RNAcentral.